AAGGAAAUCCUCGGCAGUUAACUGCAGCCGGUUUCCACAAACUUCGGCAGUUAACUACCGAGGGGCAU
This is a microRNA precursor of Medicago truncatula (barrel medic), 68 nucleotides long. It matches the Rfam family "MIR2629 microRNA precursor family". The record is from Rfam. Lineage: Eukaryota; Viridiplantae; Streptophyta; Magnoliopsida; Fabales; Fabaceae.